This 367-nucleotide long non-coding RNA is filed under the name Elaeis guineensis (African oil palm). RNAcentral's name for it is "long non-coding RNA (EGUI_LNC034159)". The record is from RNAcentral. Lineage: Eukaryota; Viridiplantae; Streptophyta; Magnoliopsida; Arecales; Arecaceae.
CAGAUGUUCGUCAUCCACUUUUUGAGUUCCAUAGAUAAUGAUGAAGUUUGGUUCAAGUUUGAAUUCGAAUUUGAUUUAAAUUGGUGAUGAGGAUAAACCAUCAUUUAAACUUAAACCAAACCACCUCAACUUAUCAUUAUCUUUCAUGAGAUGCCACCUUAAGAAGGGAUAACUUUUUGUGCGACAAAGAAGUUUUAGUUUGUGUAUGAGAAACUUUUCAGUUGGGGCAUGAAAAGAAAAAAUCUAAGAGGGGCGGGCUUCCGUGCAUGAGAAAUAGAGGAAGUAAUCUUCCUCUUGGACAUGAGGUCUAGGAUGGGUUCUAGGAUUUUUUUAGCUCUAGUUUUUGUAUAAGAAAAAUACAAGAGGG